UCGAGUGUUUCAAAAGACACGUCGAGCUUAGAAAAAGCGCGGGGUUGGAAGUUGGGGAACGAGAGUGCUUAGAAAUCGGAAGCCAAUUCUCUGACAAACAUCGUCUCUCUCUCUUACAUGAUGCUAGAUCGAAUGCAUUCUCUUUUUAGGGUUUCUUUAAUUGAUGGAUAGGGUUUACAGUUUCGAUAUUUUCGUUGAUUAAGAAGCUGCAUUAGCCUCUGACUUGCUUUGUUGGUGUUUGAAUCUUUCAAAUGUAUUAGUUCCUGAUCGUUUAUUUUCGCUACUUCCUUUUUAUCGGUGCAAGGUAAACGAAGAGAAUUUUCAGACGAGAGAGAAUCAGGAAUUGUGCAAUGCGACGAAGAUGAUAUGUGUUGUUGAACAUGUGAUGAAGGGAUUCAACCAAGUUUCUGGUGUGGAUAAAGAUUUCAACAGGUCCCUCUAGAUCAAGAUUCAUUUGCUUGAUAAUUCCCUUUCUGAAACCAUAUGAAUCAAUCGUAUCCCCAUCUUCUCUUCUUCUUGUUUCUGAUGUGACAUCUAACCAUGCAUUGGAUGAGGGAAAGAAGAAAAUAAUUGGGUUGUAUCAAUGGUGCCCAGUUCGGAUGCUGCAAAAAGAUGCCAAGUUGUUCAGAACAGCCAAGGUUGUAAUCUCGCCUCAUGCCGCCAGUGGUGCCUCCA
This is a long non-coding RNA of Nelumbo nucifera (sacred lotus), 675 nucleotides long. RefSeq lists it as uncharacterized. Lineage: Eukaryota; Viridiplantae; Streptophyta; Magnoliopsida; Proteales; Nelumbonaceae. The record is from RefSeq and is a predicted model, not a curated record.